RNAcentral lists this small nuclear RNA (197 nucleotides) under Setaria italica (foxtail millet). RNAcentral's name for it is "snRNA U2". It matches the Rfam family "U2 spliceosomal RNA". From Rfam's summary of the family: U2 is a small nuclear RNA (snRNA) component of the spliceosome (involved in pre-mRNA splicing). Complementary binding between U2 snRNA (in an area lying towards the 5' end but 3' to hairpin I) and the branchpoint sequence (BPS) of the intron results the bulging out of an unpaired adenosine, on the BPS, which initiates a nucleophilic attack at the intronic 5' splice site, thus starting the first of two transesterification reactions that mediate splicing. Lineage: Eukaryota; Viridiplantae; Streptophyta; Magnoliopsida; Poales; Poaceae. The record is from Rfam by way of RNAcentral. RNAcentral also lists the same sequence under 1 other name.
AUACCUUUCUCGGCCUUUUGGCUAAGAUCAAGUGUAGUAUCUGUUCUUAUCAGUUUAAUAUCUGAUAUGUGAGGCACCGCCUCACAAAUGAUAUUAAAUUUAUUUUUUAUGGGGGAGGAUCUUGAUGAUGGCUUGCCAUUUGGGUCCUCAAGCGUCGCUCGAGCGUUGCACUACAGCUUGAGCUUGGCGCGCCCCAA